RNAcentral lists this ribosomal RNA (484 nucleotides) under uncultured bacterium. RNAcentral describes it as "partial 16S ribosomal RNA". It matches the Rfam family "Bacterial small subunit ribosomal RNA", at positions 30 to 507 of the family's 1533-position model. The record is from RNAcentral.
AUUGAACGCUGGCGGCAGGCCUAACACAUGCAAGUCGAGCGGAUGAAGGGAGCUUGCUCCUGGAUUCAGCGGCGGACGGGUGAGUAAUGCCUAGGAAUCUGCCUGGUAGUGGGGGAUAACGUCCGGAAACGGGCGCUAAUACCGCAUACGUCCUGAGGGAGAAAGUGGGGGAUCUUCGGACCUCACGCUAUCAGAUGAGCCUAGGUCGGAUUAGCUAGUUGGUGGGGUAAAGGCCUACCAAGGCGACGAUCCGUAACUGGUCUGAGAGGAUGAUCAGUCACACUGGAACUGAGACACAGUCCAGAUUCCUACGGGAGGCAGCAGUGGGGAAUAUUGGACAAUGGGCGAAAGCCUGAUCCAGCCAUGCCGCGUGUGUGAAGAAGGUCUUCGGAUUGUAAAGCACUUUAAGUUGGGAGGAAGGGCAGUAAGUUAAUACCUUGCUGUUUUGACGUUACCAACAGAAUAAGCACCGGCUAACUUCGUG